RNAcentral lists this long non-coding RNA (378 nucleotides) under Dasypus novemcinctus (nine-banded armadillo). RNAcentral describes it as "lncRNA (ENSDNOG00000052401.1)". Lineage: Eukaryota; Metazoa; Chordata; Mammalia; Cingulata; Dasypodidae. The record is from RNAcentral.
CCAAAGGGGAGGGCCAGCCCGGGGUUCUUCUGACAGCCGGAUUCUCCUAACUGCACUCACCCUGGGGACUAUACGAUAGGCAAUUCUGGCCUCCAGAGAGGAUGGUCUCCCACCUGGCUGGGCCCAGCACCCAGCAAAGAGGCAGAGCUGGCUCAGAAGGAAAACAUCACUGGUAGACACCUGGGUGCUCAUGCAAAACCCUGAAUCUCCUAUAGUGAGCUCCUUUGCCCGACCCCACCCCCACGCUGGAUGGAAUUAAAAUCAAACUGGGGGUGAACUGGGCGGUGGGGGGUAAGGCAACCCCAAGAGGAGCCAUCCCAUCUCGGGCAGAAACAAAGCGGAGGGGUAAGGAGAAAACGUGGAGGCAGAGCUUUCACG